UUCGACUAAGCCAUGCAAGCGGAGGGCAGUUCGGCUGCCCCGCGGACGGCUCAGUAACACGUAGUCAACCUACCCUUGGGUCGGGUAUAACCCCGGGAAACUGGGGAUAAUCCCCGAUAGGUGGGGGUACUGGAAAAGUCCCUCUCCCAAAGCUCCGGCGCCCAAGGACGGGACUGCGGCCCAUCAGGUAGUUGGCGGGGUAACGGCCCACCAAGCCGACAACGGGUACGGGCUGUGAGAGCAGGAGCCCGGAGAUGGAGACUGAGACAAGGCUCCAGGCCCUACGGGGCGCAGCAGGUGCGAAAACUUCGCAAUGCGCGAAAGCGUGACGAGGGAACCCCAAGUGCCGAUGGUCUUUUUGAUCGUCGGCUUUUCAGGAGUUUAAAACGCUCUUGGAAUAAGAGCUGGGUAAGACUGGUGCCAGCCGCCGCGGUAACACCAGCAGCUCAAGUGGUGGUCGCGAUUAUUGGGCCUAAAGCGUCCGUAGCCGGGCCAGUAAGUCCUUUGUGAAAUCGGACGGCUCAACCGUUCGGCUUGCAGGGGAAACUACAGGCCUUGGGGCCGGUAGACGUUGAGGGUACUCCGGGGGUAGCGGUGAAAUGCUCUAAUCCCUGGGGGACCACCAGUGGCGAAGGCGCUCAACGAGAACGGACCUGACGGUGAGGGACGAAGGCUAGGGGAGCGAACCGGAUUAGAUACCCGGGUAGUCCUAGCUGUAAAGUAUGCUGGCCAGGUGUAGGGCGCUCCACGAGGGCGCCCGGUGCCGUAGGGAAGCCGUUAAGCCAGCCGCCUGGGAAGUACGG
RNAcentral lists this ribosomal RNA (803 nucleotides) under uncultured archaeon. RNAcentral describes it as "bacterial SSU rRNA". It matches the Rfam family "Archaeal small subunit ribosomal RNA", at positions 39 to 840 of the family's 1478-position model. The record is from RNAcentral.